Molecule: long non-coding RNA, 222 nt
Filed under: Pan troglodytes (chimpanzee)
Lineage: Eukaryota; Metazoa; Chordata; Mammalia; Primates; Hominidae
Description: long non-coding RNA NONPTRT002378
Source: RNAcentral
AUAAAUGAAUAAAAUUGAAACACUCCAUCUCAAAACCUACUAACUUUUUAACCGUUGGAAAUUAGCUUUUGCUCCAGACGUGAUAAUGUUUCUUAAUGAAUUCAACCUAAAAUUACAAGGCAAAACAACAGUUAUAGGUGAAACAUAUACAAAAACUCGUUUAUUUAUUAUUACACCCCUACGAAACUGUUCAUAUUUGGAAACUAAAGCACAGAGAGAUAA